UUCCCCCUCCCCCCUCUCGCCACUCUCUCUCUCUCUCUCUCUCUCUCUCUCUCCAGCCCCGAUCCUCUCUCUGCCACUCUCCCUCUCCACCCCCAAUCCUCUCUCACUGCUCCCCAUCCUCUCUCUUAGAACAUAGGAAAAAUCUGAGCAAAAACAAUGCGGGGCUUCGGAUCGGGAGUUUUAGAAAUCGAAACCCUAGGGUUUGAAAACAAAACCAAAAAAAUUGAGAAAAAAGGCUCACCGAGAGAAUCAAGGAGCUGAAGUACUGGAUUGGAGAGGGAGAUUUAUAAGGUCAGGAAGAGAUGAUCUGCAUUCAUAUGCGAUCGUAUGUAUGGAUUGGGAUAUGACACUGGGAAGGUUUUUUGAAGAUGAACCUCUCUCUCUCUCUCUCUGUAAGAUAUAUUCAAUUUCAAGCAAGAAAUUGCAUUUUCUUCAUCUCUGAAACUCGCACUCUCAAAGCUUCCUGCAAAUGAUACACGCAUUGUCAAGCCACAUCCAGUUUAGAUGGCCGCACCUGCUCAGCGCAACAAUUCGGAAACUGUGACUUUUGAGCUAUAGGCAUGCUUCAUGGCGGGACAAUAGAUGAAUGGUUGGAAGAUCCUGCUAAAAUCACUCAUGUAGCGGCCCCGUGGUGGAUGAUUCUGUCCGGCUUUUUGGGACUAUUCUGAGAAAAAGUUGCUUGGAAGGCAGAAUGCUCUGUUAUAAGCGAAUGGUCUCCCGAUGCAUGCUACUUCAUGACUGCAACAACAGUUUGUCAAUGUUCAUUUUUGUAAGAGUACAGUCUCUUCUAGACCUUGCUUUGCGGACCACAGCUGCAGCAGCAGAUCCUUGUCACGAGGAACUGACAUGUUGUGUGGAAAGAUCUUCUUUGCUUAAUAGAUUGGGGACUCUCAGUGAUUUGGAAUAUGGGAUGAAAAAUUUACUUUCUACUCCUGAAGUUCAGAAGCCUGUUUCUGAUGGUAAUGAUCAGACAGAGCCAGUAAGUGUCCCUGGCCUAGAAACGUUCUCUCUGAGUUACAAGGUGUAAUGGUCGUUAUCCCUUGUGAUUUCAAGAAAAGCCUUGACAAAGUAUCAGUUGAUUUUUCGAUUCCUGUUUCAUUGUAAACACGUCAACCGCCAACUUUGUGGAGCAUGGCAAGUCCAUCAAGGGGUUCAUGCUUUUAACAAAUUGGGAACAGCCAUCUCCUGCUCUUCAGUGCUUUGCCGCAGCAUGCUUAAAUUUAUUAAUAGCCUUUUACAUUAUUUAACAUUUGAGGUUCUUGAACCCAAUUGGCAUGUGAUGCACAAUAGACUUCUAACUGCAAAGAGCAUAGAUGAGGAGCAUGAGAAGGAAGAAGCCCAGGUGGAGGAGGUGACAGGACAGAUGGAGGGCAGGGCAGGCAAGCCUCUCGCUAAGGCUUCUUGACAAGUUGGAAAGAACCCAAGAAAAAACAACACCAAGAAAGCCAAUGAAGCAGAUACUGUUGUUGAAUCUGUUGCAUCAGUUAGUAC
Magnolia sinica is the source of this 1491-nucleotide long non-coding RNA. RefSeq lists it as uncharacterized. The transcript has 9 exons. Lineage: Eukaryota; Viridiplantae; Streptophyta; Magnoliopsida; Magnoliales; Magnoliaceae. The record is from RefSeq and is a predicted model, not a curated record.